UGGGGCUUGACGCGGAGAUGAGACUUCCGAGGGCUGGCCGCGUUUGUCGCUUGGACAGAUUGCAGGUUGGAGGUGAACAUGGCCUUGAGGUAACUCCUGUCCCUUCCUGAAGUUUAGUUUCAGCAAUUUGUGGUAAGAAAUCACAAUACUCACAGAAAAUGAAAGUUCGGUUUGCUUCUGUUCUUGACUGUGCCUUUGGUAGAAUAUGAGAAACAGUGUAAACAAACAUUCUUUAUGGUCGGUGACGGCGAUGCCUGAAAUUAGUCCUCAGCCUGGCUUAAGUUAAGCGGAUUUUAAAUGUCAAAGCCACUUCUAGACGUUUUCCUUGAUAAAAUAAAAUUUUGUUGAAUCCUCA
Molecule: long non-coding RNA, 355 nt
Organism: Phyllostomus hastatus (greater spear-nosed bat)
Lineage: Eukaryota; Metazoa; Chordata; Mammalia; Chiroptera; Phyllostomidae
Exons: 2
Source: RefSeq, a predicted model, not a curated record